CCAAUAGCGUAUAUUAAAGUUGUUGUGGUUAAAAAGCUCGUAGUUGAACCUUGGGCCUGGCUGGCCGGUCCGCCUCACCGCGUGUACUGGUCCGGCCGGGUCUUUCCCUCUGUGGAACCCCAUGCCCUUCACUGGGUGUGGCGGGGAAACAGGACUUUUACUUUGAAAAAAUUAGAGUGCUCCAGGCAGGCCUAUGCUCGAAUACAUUAGCAUGGAAUAAUAGAAUAGGACGUGCGGUUCUAUUUUGUUGGUUUCUAGGACCGCCGUAAUGAUUAAUAGGGACAGUCGGGGGCAUCAGUAUUCAAUUGUCAGAGGUGAAAUUCUUGGAUUUAUUGAAGACUAACUACUGCGAAAGCAUUUGUCAAGGAUGUUUUCAUUAAUCAGGAACGAAAGUUAGGGGAUCGAAGACGAUCAGAUACCGUCGUAGUCUUAACCAUAAACUAUGCCGACUAGGGAUCGGACGAUGUUAUUUUUUGACUCGUUCGGCACCUUACG
This 495-nucleotide ribosomal RNA is filed under the name uncultured Glomeromycotina. Its description in RNAcentral is "partial small subunit ribosomal RNA". It matches the Rfam family "Eukaryotic small subunit ribosomal RNA", at positions 591 to 1092 of the family's 1831-position model. The record is from RNAcentral. Lineage: Eukaryota; Fungi; Glomeromycota.